This 520-nucleotide ribosomal RNA is filed under the name uncultured bacterium. Its description in RNAcentral is "bacterial SSU rRNA". It matches the Rfam family "Bacterial small subunit ribosomal RNA", at positions 8 to 518 of the family's 1533-position model. The record is from RNAcentral.
AGAAUUUGAUCUGGUUCAGGAUGAACGCUAGCUACAGGCUUAACACAUGCAAGUCGAGGGGCAGCAUGAAGUUUGCUUGCAAACUUGAUGGCGACCGGCGCACGGGUGAGUAACGCGUAUCCAACCUUCCCCUUAGUAGGGCAUAGCCCGGCGAAAGUCGGAUUAAUACCCUAUGUUCUUCGUAGAGGACAUCUGAAAUGAAGCAAAGGUUUACCGCUAAGGGAUGGGGAUGCGUCUGAUUAGGUAGUAGGCGGGGUAACGGCCCACCCAGCCUGCGAUCAGUAGGGGUUCUGAGAGGAAGGUCCCCCACAUUGGAACUGAGACACGGUCCAAACUCCUACGGGAGGCAGCAGUGAGGAAUAUUGGUCAAUGGGCGCGAGCCUGAACCAGCCAAGUAGCCGUGCAGGAUGACGGCCCUAUGGGUUGUAAACUGCUUUUAUCAGGGGAUAAAGUGAGGGACGUGUCCCUUUUUGUAGGUACCUGAUGAAUAAGGACCGGCUAAUUCCGUGCCAGCCGCCGC